CAGUAGCCGCGGGAAUACGGGGUGGGCAAGUGUUAUUCGGAAUGACUGGGCGUAAAGGGCACGUAGGCGGUGAAAAGGGUGGAAAGUGAAAGUCGCCAAAACACUGGCGGGGUGCUUUCUUGACCAUUUCACUUGAGUGAGAUAGGGGAGAGUGGAAUUUCGUGUGGAGGGAUCAAAUCCUAAGAUAUACGAAGGAACGCCAACCGCGAAGGCAGCUCUCUGGGUCCCCACUGACGCUGGGGUGCGAAAGCAUGGGGAGCGAACAGGAUUAGAGACCCCUGUAGUCCCUGUCUCUUAUACA
RNAcentral lists this ribosomal RNA (301 nucleotides) under uncultured bacterium. RNAcentral describes it as "partial 16S ribosomal RNA". It matches the Rfam family "Bacterial small subunit ribosomal RNA", at positions 509 to 808 of the family's 1533-position model. The record is from RNAcentral.